RNAcentral lists this ribosomal RNA (253 nucleotides) under uncultured bacterium. Its description in RNAcentral is "partial 16S ribosomal RNA". It matches the Rfam family "Bacterial small subunit ribosomal RNA", at positions 524 to 776 of the family's 1533-position model. The record is from RNAcentral.
UACGUAGGGUGCGAGCGUUGUCCGGAAUUAUUGGGCGUAAAGGGCUCGUAGGCGGUUUGUCGCGUCGGGAGUGAAAACCAGGUGCUUAACACCUGGCUUGCUUUCGAUACGGGCAGACUAGAGGUAUGCAGGGGAGAACGGAAUUCCUGGUGUAGCGGUGAAAUGCGCAGAUAUCAGGAGGAACACCGGUGGCGAAGGCGGUUCUCGGGGCAUGACCUGACGCUGAGGAGCGAAAGUGUGGGGAGCGGACAGG